UACGAAGGGGGCUAGCGUUGCUCGGAAUCACUGGGCGUAAAGCGCACGUAGGCGGAUCUUUAAGUCAGGGGGUGAAAUCCCAAGGCUCAACCUUGGAACUGCCUUUGAUACUGGGGAUCUCGAGUCCGGAAGAGGUUGGUGGAACUGCGAGUGUAGAGGUGAAAUUCGUAGAUAUUCGCAAGAACACCAGUGGCGAAGGCGGCCAACUGGUCCGGUACUGACGCUGAGGUGCGAAAGCGUGGGGAGCAAACAGGG
Molecule: ribosomal RNA, 255 nt
Filed under: uncultured bacterium
Lineage: Bacteria
Description: partial 16S ribosomal RNA
Rfam family: Bacterial small subunit ribosomal RNA
Source: RNAcentral